GAUCUCCAGCUUGCUGGGGGGAUUAGUGGCGAACGGGUGAGUAACACGUGAGUAACCUGCCCUUGACUCUGGGAUAAGCCUGGGAAACUGGGUCUAAUACUGGAUACGACUCUUCACCGCAUGGUGGGGGGUGGAAAGCUUUUGUGGUUUUGGAUGGACUCGCGGCCUAUCAGCUUGUUGGUGGGGUAAUGGCCUACCAAGGCGACGACGGGUAGCCGGCCUGAGAGGGUGGACGGCCACACUGGGACUGAGACACGGCCCAGACUCCUACGGGAGGCAGCAGUGGGGAAUAUUGCACAAUGGGCGCAAGCCUGAUGCAGCGACGCCGCGUGAGGGAUGAAGGCCUUCGGGUUGUAAACCUCUUUCAGUAGGGAAGAAGCGAAAGUGACGGUACCUGCAGAAGAAGCGCCGGCUAACUACGUGCCAGCAGCCGCGGUAAUACGUAGGGCGCAAGCGUUAUCCGGAAUUAUUGGGCGUAAAGAGCUCGUAGGCGGUUUGUCGCGUCUGCCGUGAAAGUCCGGGGCUUAACUCCGGAUCUGCGGUGGGUACGGGCAGACUUGAGUGAUGUAGGGGAGACUGGAAUUCCUGGUGUAGCGGUGAAAUGCGCAGAUAUCAGGAGGAACACCGAUGGCGAAGGCAGGUCUCUGGGCAUUAACUGACGCUGAGGAGCGAA
RNAcentral lists this ribosomal RNA (673 nucleotides) under bacterium. RNAcentral's name for it is "bacterial SSU rRNA". It matches the Rfam family "Bacterial small subunit ribosomal RNA", at positions 70 to 757 of the family's 1533-position model. The record is from RNAcentral.